Molecule: ribosomal RNA, 253 nt
Filed under: uncultured bacterium
Lineage: Bacteria
Also listed under: 1 other name
Description: partial 16S ribosomal RNA
Rfam family: Bacterial small subunit ribosomal RNA
Source: RNAcentral
UACGUAGGAUGCAAGCGUUGUCCGGAAUUAUUGGGCGUAAAGAGUUCGUAGGCGGUGAUCUAAGUCUGGUGUUAAAGACGGGAGCUCAACUCCCGCAUGGCAUUGGAAACUGGAUUGCUAGAGUGUGGUAGAGGUAACUGGAAUUCCAGGUGUAGCGGUGAAAUGCGUAGAUAUCUGGAGGAACACCAGUGGCGAAAGCGAGUUACUGGCCCACAACUGACGCUGAGGAACGAAAGCCAGGGUAGCAAAAGGG